This 253-nucleotide ribosomal RNA is filed under the name uncultured bacterium. RNAcentral's name for it is "partial 16S ribosomal RNA". It matches the Rfam family "Bacterial small subunit ribosomal RNA", at positions 524 to 776 of the family's 1533-position model. The record is from RNAcentral.
UACGUAGGAUGCAAGCGUUGUCCGGAUUUAUUGGGCGUAAAGAGUUCGUAGGUGGUAACCCAAGUCUAACGUGAAAUAAUAGGGCUUAACUCUAUUCCCGCGUUGGAAACUGGGUUGCUUGAGCAAGAUAGGGGUCAGAAGAAUUUCUGGUGUAGCGGUGAAAUGCGUAGAUAUCAGAAGGAAGACCGGUGGCGAAAGCGUCUGACUGGGUCUUUGCUGACACUGAGGAACGAAAGCUAGGGGAGCGAAAGGG